RNAcentral lists this non-coding RNA (30 nucleotides) under Rattus norvegicus (Norway rat). The record is from RNAcentral. Lineage: Eukaryota; Metazoa; Chordata; Mammalia; Rodentia; Muridae.
UGGUACGUCUGCCUGCCUCGGCCCCAUCUG